Molecule: ribosomal RNA, 452 nt
Filed under: uncultured Chelatococcus sp.
Lineage: Bacteria; Pseudomonadati; Pseudomonadota; Alphaproteobacteria; Hyphomicrobiales; Chelatococcaceae
Description: partial 16S ribosomal RNA
Source: RNAcentral
CACGAAGUUAGCCGGGGCUUAUUCUUCCGGUACCGUCAUUAUCGUCCCGGACAAAAGAGCUUUACAACCCUAGGGCCUUCAUCACUCACGCGGCAUGGCUGGAUCAGGCUUGCGCCCAUUGUCCAAUAUUCCCCACUGCUGCCUCCCGUAGGAGUCUGGGCCGUGUCUCAGUCCCAGUGUGGCUGAUCAUCCUCUCAGACCAGCUACUGAUCGUCGCCUUGGUAGGCCAUUACCCCACCAACUAGCUAAUCAGACGCGGGCCGAUCCUUCGGCGAUAAAUCUUUCUCCUCUCGGACGUAUCCGGUAUUAGCUCAAGUUUCCCUGAGUUAUUCCGAACCGAAGGGCACGUUCCCACGCGUUACUCACCCGUCUGCCACUGUCCCCGAAGGAACCGUUCGACUUGCAUGUGUUAGGCCUGCCGCCAGCGUUCGCUCUGAGCCAGGAUCAAACUC